RNAcentral lists this ribosomal RNA (482 nucleotides) under uncultured bacterium. Its description in RNAcentral is "partial 16S ribosomal RNA". It matches the Rfam family "Bacterial small subunit ribosomal RNA", at positions 30 to 507 of the family's 1533-position model. The record is from RNAcentral.
AUUGAACGCUGGCGGCAUGCCUUACACAUGCAAGUCGAACGGUAACGGGCCUUCGGGUGCCGACGAGUGGCGAACGGGUGAGUAAUACAUCGGAACGUGCCCGAUCGUGGGGGAUAACGAGGCGAAAGCUUUGCUAAUACCGCAUACGAUCUACGGAUGAAAGCAGGGGACCGCAAGGCCUUGCGCGGACGGAGCGGCCGAUGGCAGAUUAGGUAGUUGGUGGGAUAAAAGCUUACCAAGCCGACGAUCUGUAGCUGGUCUGAGAGGAUGAUCAGCCACACUGGGACUGAGACACGGCCCAGACUCCUACGGGAGGCAGCAGUGGGGAAUUUUGGACAAUGGGCGCAAGCCUGAUCCAGCCAUGCCGCGUGCAGGAUGUAGGCCUUCGGGUUGUAAACUGCUUUUGUACGGAACGAAAAGCCUUCUUUUAAUACAGGAGGGUCAUGACGGUACCGUAAGAAUAAGCACCGGCUAACUACGUG